GACGAACGCUGGCGGCGUGCUUAACACAUGCAAGUCGAACGGAAAGGCCCUGCUUUUGUGGGGUGCUCGAGUGGCGAACGGGUGAGUAACACGUGAGUAACCUGCCCUUGACUUUGGGAUAACUUCAGGAAACUGGGGCUAAUACCGGAUAGGAGCUCCUGCUGCAUGGUGGGGGUUGGAAAGUUUCGGCGGUUGGGGAUGGACUCGCGGCUUAUCAGCUUGUUGGUGGGGUAGUGGCUUACCAAGGCUUUGACGGGUAGCCGGCCUGAGAGGGUGACCGGGAAAAUGGGAAGGGGAGUACGGGCGGAAGCAGUGGGGGAGACAGCGGGGGGGAAGGUAGCCUAAGGGAGCGAGGCCGAGGGGGGGAUGCCGGGGUUGGGGUUGUGGACUUCGGGUGUGAAACCGGCUUCCCCCUGGUUGGAAGGGUGGUGACGGUAGUGGGAGAAGAAGCACCGGCUAACUACGUG
This 467-nucleotide ribosomal RNA is filed under the name uncultured bacterium. Its description in RNAcentral is "partial 16S ribosomal RNA". It matches the Rfam family "Bacterial small subunit ribosomal RNA", at positions 28 to 507 of the family's 1533-position model. The record is from RNAcentral.